Molecule: long non-coding RNA, 534 nt
Organism: Carassius carassius (crucian carp)
Lineage: Eukaryota; Metazoa; Chordata; Actinopteri; Cypriniformes; Cyprinidae
Exons: 3
Source: RefSeq, a predicted model, not a curated record
CACCGCUGUCGAGAGAUUACAGCGACAUCUGAAUGCAUAACUAACUUGUUCUUUUUUUCCAGCUGAUAAUGGGCAAAAAUAACUCUAGCGGCACUGGAGAAGAGGAAAGGUAAAUCAGCAGGUAGUUCAGAAAACGAGAAGAGGAGGAAGAAAAUGACAAAGUGGACAGGAAGUAGGAGGAAGCAGCAGGUGUAGAGUGAUCUAGUGAGUGGAGGAGACAAACAAACUCAAUACACAGGAAGUGGAGAACAACGGCGAUGCGAGAUGCAGCGUCCUUCAAAAUCCCAUCUGCACAAACGGGAGUCGGCACAACAUGUUUCAGACAGUGAUGUGUUAAUUACCUGCAUCACCUCUGUGUGAAAGAAAAUGGGAGCUUCUCAAAGUGAUAUGCUGGAAGUUGAAAUGCUUUGGAAUACAGUCAAACUCCAAAUGACCAUCAAGCUCCACUGUGGAGGAGCAGUAUUUGUUACAUAUUGCAUAAAAGUAUGCCCUGUAAUAAAACGAGUUAGUACCAUAUUAGUGCAUUUACUCAUU